This 859-nucleotide ribosomal RNA is filed under the name uncultured Gammaproteobacteria bacterium. RNAcentral's name for it is "bacterial SSU rRNA". It matches the Rfam family "Bacterial small subunit ribosomal RNA", at positions 33 to 887 of the family's 1533-position model. The record is from RNAcentral. Lineage: Bacteria; Pseudomonadati; Pseudomonadota; Gammaproteobacteria.
ACGCUGGCGGUAGGCUUAACACAUGCAAGUCGUGCGAGAAAGUACCUUCGGGUGCGAGUAGAGCGGCGGACGGGUGAGUAACGCGUAGGAAUCUACCUAGUAGAAGGGGAUAGCCCGGGGAAACUCGGAUUAAUACCGUAUACCUCCUUAGGGAGAAAGAGGGCUUAGCUUUGAUGCUCUCGCUAUUAGAUGAGCCUGCGUAAGAUUAGCUUGUUGGUGAGGUAAUGGCUCACCAAGGCGACGAUCUUUAGCUGGUCUGAGAGGACGAUCAGCCACAUUGGGACUGAGACACGGCCCAGACUCCUACGGGAGGCAGCAGUGGGGAAUAUUGGACAAUGGGCGCAAGCCUGAUCCAGCCAUACCGCGUGUGUGAAGAAGGCUUUCGGGUUGUAAAGCACUUUAAGUAAGGAGGAAAAGAUUGUAGUUAAUACCUGCAAUCCGUGACGUUACUUACAGAAUAAGGACCGGCUAAUUCCGUGCCAGCAGCCGCGGUAAUACGGAAGGUCCAAGCGUUAAUCGGAAUUACUGGGCGUAAAGCGCGCGUAGGUGGUUUUUUAAGUUGGAUGUGAAAGCCCUGGGCUCAACCUAGGAACUGCAUCCAAAACUAGAUGACUAGAGUACGAAAGAGGGAAGUAGAAUUCACAGUGUAGCGGUGGAAUGCGUAGAUAUUGUGAAGAAUACCAAUGGCGAAGGCAGCUUCCUGGUUCUGUACUGACACUGAGGUGCGAAAGCGUGGGUAGCGAACAGGAUUAGAUACCCUGGUAGUCCACGCCGUAAACGAUGACAACUAGCUGUUGGGAGACAAGAUCUCUCAGUGGCGCAGCUAACGCUUUAAGUUGUCCGCCUGGGGAGUACGGCC